RNAcentral lists this ribosomal RNA (484 nucleotides) under uncultured bacterium. RNAcentral's name for it is "partial 16S ribosomal RNA". It matches the Rfam family "Bacterial small subunit ribosomal RNA", at positions 30 to 507 of the family's 1533-position model. The record is from RNAcentral.
AUUGAACGCUGGCGGCAGGCCUAACACAUGCAAGUCGAGCGGAUGAAGGGAGCUUGCUCCUGGAUUCAGCGGCGGACGGGGGAGUAAUGCCUAGGAAUCUGCCUGGUAGUGGGGGAUAACGUCUGGAAACGGGCGCUAAUACCGCAUACGUCCUGAGGGAGAAAGUGGGGGAUCUUCGGACCUCACGCUAUGAGAUGAGCCUAGGUCGGAUUAGCUAGUUGGUGGGGUAAAGGCCUACCAAGCCGACGAUCCGUAACUGGUCUGAGAGGAUGAUCGGUCACACUGGAACUGAGACGCCGUCCAGACUCCUACGGGAGGCAGCAGUGGGGAAUAGUGGACAGUGGUCGAAAGCCUGGUCCAGCCAUGCCGCGUGUGUGAAGAAGGUCUUCGGAUUGUGAAGAACUUUUAGUUGGGAGGAAGGGCAGUAAGUUAAUACCUUGCUGUUUUGACGGUACCAACAGAAUAAGCACCGGCUAACUUCGUG